Molecule: long non-coding RNA, 746 nt
Organism: Artibeus jamaicensis (Jamaican fruit-eating bat)
Lineage: Eukaryota; Metazoa; Chordata; Mammalia; Chiroptera; Phyllostomidae
Exons: 3
Source: RefSeq, a predicted model, not a curated record
CUGAGGCCUAAAAAGGGAAGGAGAAGGAAAGGUAUUACCAUAUUGCAGAGACAGCUGGGAACACAUAAAGGGACUACUGAUUUGAGCUGUGGUCAUGAAGAAAGGCAGUCCCUGCCAGAACCUUGGCAAGGUACUGAGGAUCCAGGUAAACGAUACAGGCAAGGUCCUUCAUGGAAGGUUCACUUAGUGGGAGUGUGAAGAGGAGAUGAUGGCUGAGGAAACACAUGCACAGAUUACCCAUUUCCUCAUCUCUCCUCAAAGUCCUAUCUCCUUUUCUAUUGAUGUUCUAAGGAACAUUAAGAUGAUGAACAUCUUUCUGAACUACAAUAAAAAUCGGGAGAUAUUAUAGUUCUGGGACCUUGCAGUGAACACAUCCACUGUCCUUUCCAUGCAGUUCGAGACUGCACUUGAGAUCACAUUUGCUAACUCUAUGUGCUCCCAUUAAAGAACAGAGGGUGUACUGACCUGCUCCACUAAAGAUAUUCCAUAUGCUCAGAAGCUGUGGAUAUUAAGCUACCACUUGGUUAAAUUUAUGGUAGUGCACUCUCAUCCAUAAUGAAACUUUUUUUUUUGUAAAGGCAAGACAAAUGAAUUGGCUAGAGAUAGUAUGAAGACCAGUAACCCUGAGUCCUUUACUUACUGUUGCUGGUUUGGCAACAAUUUUAGUAAAAGCAAGUAUAAUUCCAGGAGUUUAUAUUCAGCCUAGUGGCCCAUCAAGUAAAAAUUGAAGAUAAAUAAUAUUAAAC